UCAAAAAAACCCCAAAUCAAAACCCCACCGAUUAAGAUCUGUAUACAAAUCUGUUUUCAUUAAUUUAUACUUUUCAUCUUAUUCUCCUUCUUUUUCUGUAAUCAAACCCAUCUUUAAAGCUAAUGUUGUCUUCUUCUUCAUCUCACAAAAGUGACUCAUCAAAUUCAUAACAGUACAUCUGAAACUCAAAAGCUAUAAUAUUCAUCCUAUUCCUCUUCUUUAAAUUCGUGUGUACCAUUGCAU
This 243-nucleotide long non-coding RNA is filed under the name Panax ginseng (ginseng). RNAcentral's name for it is "long non-coding RNA (PGIN_LNC016465)". The record is from RNAcentral. Lineage: Eukaryota; Viridiplantae; Streptophyta; Magnoliopsida; Apiales; Araliaceae.